This 11079-nucleotide long non-coding RNA is filed under the name Medicago truncatula (barrel medic). RNAcentral describes it as "long non-coding RNA (MTRU_LNC008735)". Lineage: Eukaryota; Viridiplantae; Streptophyta; Magnoliopsida; Fabales; Fabaceae. The record is from RNAcentral.
UGGUACUUCCUUCUCAUUUUCGAAUUGCUUUCUUUAAUAUUCGCUUCAAUUAUUCUUUUCAGUUGGAGGCUUGGUGCGCUGCUUCUCUGUGCAAGUUCUUCUUUAUGAGUUACUCCGCGCUAAUCCACCCUGUAAUUAUUGCCAUAGAUAUUAACAAUCAAAUACAAAGUUUAAUAUAAGUUCAAAAAUUCAUAGCUAUGUAAUCUAACCAUUGAUAUUUAUUUACUUAUAUUUUUUUUAAAAGUUUAUUAUACAUUCAUUUGAAAUUAUUUAAUAUAAUAUCAAAUAGUUUUAAAAUUUUAUAACAAUUGGUAGAGUCAAUCUACUUAAUAAGAACUUUUGAUUUGACAGUUAGAUUAAUGAAAUUCAUUGCUUAUAAUAUAAUGAGUUAUUAAGCGGAGUAAUUCGUGUCAGAGUUACUCCUGGAGUCAACGGAUCCCCAGUCAUAUACUCGCACACACACAAUUGAUUGUGAUUGCUUGAUAGUGUUAUAAGUUUACACUGAAAAUUUAUCAAAAUCAAACUUAUCGUUUUUAACUUAAUGUCGUUAUGAUAAAUUUCUAUUCCAGAUCAUUAUCUAUUACUUAUUAGAAAUUUGUGCUUUGCUCUCCUUUAUUUAAUUAAGAUGUCACACUUUCCAAACUCGUGUUGCAGCAAUAUGGAUUACUAGUUCUAGUUGGUUUAAAAUUUGAUAUGGUUUUAUCUGCUAGAAAAUGAAAUUCAAUUAUGUAUUGAUUGUUGUGUUUUUUGGGUGUGUUUUUGCUGAAAUAACUGUGCAGCUGUUCAGAAAGAAAGAAUGGAAGCAGAGGAUAUGUAUGUGUUAUCCGACAAUGGGUCAGUUUUGUCUGCCCCAUCUCCCAAACCUUACCCACAUAAGCCUCCCAAGUGUACUGAUUGUGAUCAACUUUUCAUGAAGGUAACUUUGGUUUCACGUUAUAGUAAUUACUGUAUUUUCUGGGUUAUUAAGAGUUUGUAUGCUCAUUAUUCUUGAGAUUUCAAAAUACUAUGUUACAUAUUGAAGUUAUGAACUGAGAGUGAUGAUGAAUUAUAAAUCUUGAAUUCAUUGUAUUGAAUGAACCAUUACAACAGAGAAGAGAUUAUAUAGUACCCGAAGUUAACUCAUAAGUUAGCUUCUUCAGAAACUGAUAAGUUAGCAACAAUCUAGCUAACUAUGGCUACUAUUAGUAACUAUAUUAAACAUACUUAAACUGACAUAAUGGUAAUGCCAUGUGGCAUGAUCCACUACCUGGUAUACAACCUUAGCAUUUUAAGAGAUGGUUUUAUAUGUACAAUUUAGGUUUUUCUUGAAUGGUUGGAUAUUUGGACUUAGGAUGGUAUUAGUUAACAGUAAGCCUGUAACAUUCAGUUGACAAAUGCUUUGCUGUACACUAAUUACUAGACUCACAACUGGUAAAUGCUAUAAUAUCUAUAUAUUUUCACUUAUUAUAAGAUAUAACUAUUAUUUGGUUAUUGAAUGGUAUGGCUGUGAAAUAUUUAUAUGGAUAGUUCUUUUGAGGUCAAAAUGUGUGUACUAUUGACUGACCUUAGAAACUCACAAUUCUUAUGUUUUCUUUCUUUUCUUGCAUAAAUUAGCAAUUGAUAUACGUUUCUUUCGCUUCCCUUAUAGGCAUAUGAAAAGCGUGAUGCUGGGGCUAUUAUCCAUAGUCAUGGGAUGGAAUCUUGUCUUGUAACAAUGAUCAAUCCAUUUUCAAAGGAAUUUCGAGUAAGUACUUGUACAUGGAUGUCAUUUGGUUUUGCAAUCUUUUGAUGCCUUGAGAAAGAUGGAAAUUCAAAUUGAUGAUACACAAUUAUUAAUUGCUAUUUGAUCUUUGAGUGCGUUUUGAGAGAUAAUAGAACAUGAAGCUGAAUGCAAAAAAUAUUAUAUUUGCUUGAGCAUAAGACUAUUUGUGAAACGCUAACUUCCGGUCAGGCAAACAUCUAUGAAUGAGGAAGAGCCUCUUUAUCGAACUUAAGGAAAUUUUUUUAUUUUGGUUACUUAAAGAAUUGAAAAGGAGAAAAUAUGCAAGUUCCUAAUAAUAUGAUCUGUAAUGACAUGAGAAUGAGACAUCCUUCUUGGAGGUAUAACUAGUUCUGUAGUUGUGUUAUCCUUUUGUUUUGAAAGUCUCUCUCCAGUCUCCAAAACUCAAGUUUUUAGGGGAAAAAAAAUUGUAUGCCAUUAAAAAGUAGUGAAAUAGUUUAAAAACUGGAGAAAGUCUAAACUAGAGAUAUUGACAUGUGAUGAACAUUUUGCUGAUCAUCUCUGUCCUCUUUGAAUAUGAUUACUGGCUAUUUUCUCAAUCUAAGUAACUUUCUUUCUUGAAAAUUUUGGCUUCUGUCUUGUGCAAAGAGGAAUUUGUGCGCACAGUUGGAAAAUUUAGAUCCGCUUCUAGUGCUGAAAAAAUUAGGAAGGACAUUUGGUUGGGUGGGUGGGAUUGGGAUAAGGCAGUUAUAUGUUCUGUGUUCAUAGAAAUACUUUUAAACACAAACAAUUUUGAAUGAAGAAUUUUCAUAUUUUCUUUGGGAGAGGGUGAAAUGAGAUGGCACCUGCCAACCUUCUUCCUUGUGGCUUUGUCAAGUUGUUUGUUGUUAUUUUUUCCUGAUCAAGCAUAAGAUGGUGAUUUUUUUUGUUGUUACAGCUUAUUAUAUAUUGCUCUGAGAAAACUAAACAUAAUUUUGUCUUUUGAAAUGGUUAACACACCUCCUUCACAUAUUAUAUCUUGCUCUGUGCUUUUGUGUCCUCUUCCUAUUCUGAUUGGAUUCUGGCCGUCUUCACAAUUUCAGAUUACUCACAUGGAGAUGAUAAAAGGGAUCAAGGGGCAUGGUUAUUAUGAUGAACUAGUGGUCCCAAUUAUUGACAACACGGCCCAUGAACAUCAACUCACAGAAUCUUUUACUAAAGCAGUAUGUUUCUUUCUAAUGGUUCUGCAUACAUCUUACAUAUAUGUUCGAAACUCUAAUUUUCAUGAACAUUUUUUCACAUCAUGUGCAGUAUAGCUUGAUUGUUCUAUUUGUUCACAAUUUGUAGAUUGAAGACUACCCAAAAGCAACAGCAGUGCUUGUUCGUAACCAUGGGAUAUUUGUUUGGGGAGACUCGUGGAUCAGUGCUAAAACUCAGGUUUUUGAUCUCCACAAUCCCCAAGAUUCCAUUUUAUAUAAGAUGCCUGUUUGUGCGCUCUGCAUGGAGUAACCAUAAAAUAUAAUUUUAUGAGAAAAUCUAAGAUACUUGAGAUUAUAAAUUAAUGUUACGAGAUAUAUUCUAACAAUGAUGAGGCUCUUUGGUAAACUGAUGAUUUUUCUUCCAGUCCGAGUGCUACCAUUACCUCUUCGAUGCUGCUAUUAAACUUCACCAAAUGGGAUUGGACUGGUCAACUCCAAAUCAUGGUCCGAUACAAAGUGCACGAAGGGGUUUAAGUAUUGCUGGGGAGUCAAAUAUCUCCGCAAAGGCAAGAAAAGAUAAUGGUGACAUUGAUCCACAUCCAGUGAGUUCAUAUAACCCUCCCCCAUUUUUUUUUUUAAAGCUUUUGAUCAAAAAUUAGUAUCUAAAUUUGCUUAAAUUUCUGAACCUGAGAUCCUCUAUCCCCAUCAGACUGUCUUAUAGUUUCAAAUUAAAUUUAAUAAUUUCAAUUUAGAUUGUUAAUUAUCCUCUCUAUUUGGAUUGCAGCGUUGCAUUGUUCUUGACAUUGAAGGAACUACUACUCCCAUAUCAUUUGUUUCAGAGGUUCUCUUUCCGUAUGCCCGUGAUAAUGUUGGGAGGCAUCUUUCUGCAACAUAUGAUACCGCUGAAACUAAAGCCGAUAUCAAGUUGCUUCGCUCCCAAGUAAGACUUUAUUUGGCUGUAUGGUUACGGCAUUUAUAUUCCUUCAGUUGAAUUAUAUGGUAGGUCUUGAAUGGUAGCAGUCUCGUUAUGUGGAAUGUUAUCCCAUAUUUGACACUGGAAUGAUGUGUUAGAGAUGAGAAUUACAUUUCAGUUUUGUAAUUUGAAGUACAAACAUCCAUAAAUAUUAAAAUCACUAAUGACAAAAGUUGUUUACCAUGUUUAUAUUAUUCAAAUUUUCUUCAAUUUAUUAUAAUUUAUACUUGUUUUGGGAUUCAUUAAAGGAUAAAGUGAAAUAAAAAUGUUCCAUUCGAACAUAAGAGUAAAGAGAUAAAGAAGAAAGUAGGGUGCUGCACUGGCUCUCGAAAGGUGGUGCAUUGUUAUAAGUUCCCUUUUGGAGUGUCUCACCUAAAAAGCGAGGCUUAUUAAUAUUAGGUUUUUACAUUGAGCCUACCUCAUCCAUACAAAAUCGACUUGUAAGGUGAGGGGUUCCACUCUAUAAGCUCAUUUCAGUCCUUAUCUCUAUUCAAUAUGGGACUUGAGUUUUUCCCAAUACUCCACACCCAACAAAAUUGAGCUUGGUGCACAGAUAUAAAUGAUGGGUGGUCCCAUGGAUAGGAUCUGAUGCCAUAUUAGGUUUUUAUAUUGAGCCUAACUCAUUCUUACAAAACCGGCUUGUAAGGUGAAGGUUGUGACUCUUUACAAAUUCAUUUCAAGCCUUAUCUCUAUUAAAUAUGGGACUUGAGUCUUUUUCGGUAACAAGUUAGGUAGUUCUCCCACCUAGUAAGCUAGUAUCUUGGGAUAAACUUUCCUUAUCAGUUUAACAAAACAUUCUUUUGUUUUCAUUUGUAGUUACAAAAAUCUCCUUGUUUUUAGUUUGUUAUGUCUUUUCAAAGUUUUAUAUGGAAGCAAAAACAAUAAAAUAAUGUGUCAUUUUUGUUAUUAUUAGUGAAAUUAGCUAAGGGAAACAUUUUCUUUUUCUCGUUUUUAUAAAAUAUAAUUUCAUUUAGAGUAAAUUACACUCCCCUCCCCUCAAAGAUGCUUGAAUUGCACUCCCCUCCCCUCUUAUGUUAAAAUAUACACUCCCCUCCCUUGAAAAGGAAAAUUUAUACCCCCCUCCCCUAUAAGAUGCUUGAAUUACAACCCCCUCCCUUAAUAAUUAAAUAUGGACUACACUUUAAUCUAUUUUAACAUAAAUAAAUAUUUUUAUAAUAUAUAUUAAUUUUGAAUCACCAUUUAAAAAAUAUAAAUUCGUUUCUUUAUAAUCUAAAUGUCAAUGACAAUUAAAUUUAAAUAUUUUGUAAUUAAUUUUAUAAUUACAGUACAAAAUUCACUUUUAAAUAACCAUACUUAAUCGACUUUAGUAAUUUUUCACAUAUUUUAAUUUUAUUUUGGGUUGUUUCAUAUUUUAUAAUAGGGUUUAAAACUAUAUGUUAAUGAAAUUGUGAAUAAAAAAUAGAGAAAGAUAUGUAUUCAAAGUUUGAUUAUAUUAAAAUGAACCCGCAAUGCUAUUUUUCUUUGAAGUGUGCUCGAUUAUUUUUUUUCUAGAUUAUUAGAAAUAAAAAAAAAAUUAUUGAGGGACUAAAGCGUAGAUUUUAACUUAAGAGGGGAGGGGAAUGUAAUUCAAGCUUCUCUCAAGGGAGGGGAGUGAAAUAUUUUCUAAUAUGUUUUGAAUAAGAGGGGAGGGGAGUGUAUAUUUUAACAUAAGAGGGGAGAGGAGUGUAGUUCAAGUAUCUUUGAGGGGAGGGGAGUGUAAUUUACUCUUUCAUUUAUAAUCACAAGUCUUAUCUUGCUUUCAUCUUGAUUCCUUCAUUUUGAAUUUAUGUUUAUAAAGAAAUUCGUGAAAACUAGGUAUGAGUUAUGACUUAUGGAGAUUCCCUAAAGUUUCAUAUGUGAACUAUAUGGUAAUAGUAGCGAAUCCAGGGACCAGCCCACUUUCCUUAGUGCAGUUUGUGUCCCAACAAAAGAAUAACAAUCUUUUGCCGAUUGAGAUGUGGAGAUCUUAUUUAUAUGUUGCAUUUAGAUAAUCUAGUGGUUGACUUCUCUUCUGUUCUGAUACCAGGUUGAAAGUGACCUUGAACAAGGGAUUGCAGGUGCUGUGCCUAUCCCCCCAGAUGAUGCUGGGAAAGAUGAAGUUAUUGCUGCUAUAGUGGCUAAUGUGGAUGCUAUGAUCAAAGCGGAUAGAAAGAUCACUGCCUUAAAAGAGUUGCAGGUAGUUAAGCCUAAUGCUGCAGACUUCUUCUAUCUGUUGAAUUCAUAUCUUUUAUAUUACUGACAACUGGCUUUGCAGGGUCAUAUAUGGCAAACGGGUUAUGCGAAUAAUGAAUUGGAGGGAAUAGUUUUUGAUGAUGUACCCGAAGCUCUGGAAAAGUGGAAUGCCUUGGGCAUAAAGGUUGUCUAAUUUACUGAUUAUCAGCUCUAUACCUCUUUUCGGUUCCUUUGUUUGCUUCCUAAAGGAUUGUUGCUUUUUUAUUCUUCAUGUAUUUUGACCCUAGGCAUCUUUGUUGCAUACGUAAGAUGCCAAUAUUUGGUACAAUGGUAUAAGAUGACCAUAGGUUGAUAUUCCCUCUAUUAGCUAAAGGGAAUAACUUGUGUGGCUGUGUGAGUAUAUGAUACCUUUCCCUACCAUUAGAAUGUAACCAUUUUAUUUGAAUUUCCAUAUAUAUUGUCUUACGUAUACUCUUUCAAUGUUCAAUCUCUUCAUCCAUUGAUUUGGUCUUACCUUAGGUGUCUACAGUGGGACCCUGUGUUUGGAUGUCCCCACCCAACCAAAAUUCCUUUGUAACAUAUGCUUAACACUGUGAGCCACCCAUUACAUCCUUAUCUCCUUUAUCCUACCAUAAUACCAUUCUUUUUCCCUUUGUGUCACAUGUUGACUCACUCAUGGACCCACUAUAUUGGCAUCACAUGACUACUAAUUUACUAUCAAAGAAUACGCAUAAAGAAUUGGCCUGAAGGGACAUUCCAGCAAUUAUAACACAAGACAUAAAUACCAUACAGUAUAUACUUAUAAAUAUGGUAAAACUAUAAAAUGACACAUGAUUAUAAUACCUAUUUAGCGUACAGUUAAUAUUAAUAUAGAAUACAAAUUCAAAUAGAUCUCUGUCAUACUUUUUAAUGUAAAAAUACUCAACUCCUCUCAUUCGGAGUUUGUUGAGGGUAAAGCAGUUGUUAUUUUUAGUUGCGCAAGAAUGAAACAACUUGAGCAAUCACAUCACAUUUUAUAUGCAGUGUUUAUCAAGUGUUUUGAGAGCAUAUUUUCUUGUAUUUCAAUUGCUUUUUCUGAUCUAAAUGCGACAGGUGUACAUAUAUUCUAGCGGCAGCAGGUUGGCGCAAAGGCUAAUAUUUGGAAAAACAAACUAUGGGGACCUAAGAAAGUUUCUAUCUGGGUUUUUUGACACCACAGUGGGGUAAUGCCGAUAUUGAUGCUUCCCUUUGAUGAUUGUCUUAAGUUGCCUUGUAUUCACUCAAAACUCUUUUGUAGGAACAAAAAAGAGACACAAAGUUAUGUUGAAAUUUCUCAGUCACUUGGUGUUGAUAAGCCAUCGGAUAUUUUAUUUGUCACUGAUGUAUAUCAAGAAGCCACAGCUGCAAAGGGAGCAGGUAUGAGCAUUUUUUUUUUCCCCCCGAAUCUUAACCCAUCAUUUUAUUGAGUUAAAUUUUAUCCAUCAGUUAUAAAACUUGUUACAUUUUCUAUAAGCCUAAAGUUUCACAUGAUUGUAGUAAUUAAUUAAUUUUUUUACUUGCAGUGAAGACAAUAUGAAUUUAGUCCAUUAUUUAAACUUAAAGUUUAAAUUAUUUUAACUUAUAGUAAACAAGAAAAUGUCAUAUUAUGAUUCACAUAAAAUAGAAAAUCAACAUAAAAUUUGGCUUAGUAAAUACAAUAGUCUUUUUGAACUUCAUCCACUUGUAUACCAAUUGCACCUAGGCACCAUCUCUAGUCAAUACAGAACAUGGUUUUUUUCCAAUUCGCCUUCUCACACUCAGCACUUAUGAGCUUGGUCAGUGGCCCGGCAAUGAAACUAGGAUAGCCAUAUUAGAUUUUGAGCCUAGUUCAACCUUACAGAAACGGCUUUUAAAGGGAGCUGUUCCCAAGCUUUAAGCCUUGAUUAGGUAGUAUCUGUAGGGGGUUUUCACAAAAGUUUGCAUGUCUUUUGGGACUAACUGCCGGCCAAAAUUAAGAUUUACCACCCUGCAAACAAGCAAUUGGUGUGAAUGAAACCCUCCAAUUGGUAUGCUAGAGCAAUUUAUGGUCUUCUCUUGAGAUUUCAAUUUAUAUGAACUAAAGAAAAAACUGCUUAUUUCGUCUCUGCGUCAAUUUGUCGACAAUUGUCUAUGUUUUCAGGUUUGGAGGUGAUAAUUUCUAUUCGACCCGGAAAUGGACCUCUCCCUGGAAGCCAUGGGUUCAAGACAGUUAAGUCCUUCUCGGAUAUCUAAGAGUAGUUGCAGUCAUCUUUGAUGAUAUUAAACGUUAUGAUAAUUAAGGACAUUGUAACGUUUACUUCUUAAUAUGAAAUAAUGUAUUUCAAAUCUCAACAAGUUUCAGAUAUAACUUGCCUCUUUUCGAAAACAAAAUGUAAAUAUGGUUAUGUUGCAUGCAUUCUCAUUAGCAUUAUUAUAUAAGGCACAUUCUAGUGCAGAUGAGGCAUAUUCUUAGUUGUCAAACAAAAUUUUACUUGUGAAUCAUGAGUCAAAAAGACUUGUUAGAUCGUUGAAGACUUGUCAUGGAUAUGUGCUAACUGUAAGAAAUUUUUCUCGAAUUGUAAACUGUCAAAAAACUGUUAUUUUUUUUUUUUUAAAUCAAUAUUUAAAAUUCCUUCUAAUCUUUUAUUACUUAUGAUAAUUUUUCUCUGCCGAUGAUGUCAAUUAUUACUCUUAAUGACUUCAUUUUGUUAACAUAUUAGAAUAGUUUAUUUUGAUUAUGGCUUAAUCUUUCUAAAAUUAGUUUGAUUUAGUCAUACUCUUUUUAAAAAAAUAAUAAUGUAAUAGUCAAACUUUAGUCAAGUCCAAACAUCUUCUCUGCAUAAAAAUCAUCGCCUUAUCAUUCCACAUACUUCCUCCGUUCCUAAAUAUAAGCAAAUUUUACUUUUUAGGUUUAUUCAAUUAAUGAUGUAUGUAGUACAUAAUACACUUCUUUUUUUUGAGAAAAAUACAUUUGAUAUGACGAAAAGGAUUUUUUUUCAUUGAAUUUUCAUCUGAGGUCGUUGCAAUAAAAUUGUGAUUAUUUUUUGCUUAUCCUAAAACUGUAUGAAUGAGAUUAAUGAUCCUUUUUUUUUUGUUUUGAAAAAACAAGAUAAAAUUCCAAAAUAAGAUAUUUUCAACGUAUGGUAUUCAUUUCCAAAAUGAACAGUGCUAUUUUUACAAAAGUUUUACCAGCAAAAAGCUAUUUUAGCCUUUGAAUGUGCGCGAGACGUUACUAUGAUCACGAUCCUUAAAUAUAUCAAAAUUGCUAAUAUAUCCAUAAUUUCUCUUUGGUUGGUAAUUUUAUAGAUUAAAUUGACCAAUAAAAAUACAUUCGAAACUAAAUUGAUAUUCUAAAUAUAAAUUUGAUGACCAAUACGACUAAUAAAAAAGACACGUGCGUACGCUUUGCAAUUUUUACGCAUUCAAAGAUUAUAAUGACAGAAUCUUACCUAUUCAAGGACCAAAAUAUCCAUUUACCCAAAUUUGACAUCCCUGUUACUCUCUUAGUAUUGCAUUAUCCUGGUUAGAUUGAGAUUACUACAUAGCAUAUGUAUAGACCUUUUGUUCAUGCAUAGUAUGGUGUAUCAUUGAAAUCAACAAUAUUGCGGUAAGUAGAUAUAAUUCGUUGGACAAAAAUCAAAUGACUCAUGUAGUGACUUUAGCAAAUUGAAUACUCAAAAUCUAAACUAUUUGAUAUUCACAAAUGGCUGAGAUUAUUGACCAAAGUGAUAGCUUAAUGUAUCAAAGUUAUUCAAAACCAUUUCCAUAGAAAAUAUACACCAUUUUAAGAAUAUUGUUAUUUUUGCUAAAAUAGAAAGAGAGAAUAUUGUUAUUUAUGCAUAUGACUGUUUCUCUUCAGCCGUUUAUCUUGAACUUUGAAGGAGUUAUUUUAUGGGGCAUUAAAUCAUAAAGAGUCGAAGAUGUACACUCAACAAAAGUUUUAACUAUUAUAUAUAAAAAAAAAAAAAUCAACUAUUCAAACACACCAAAACAAAGUCAUUGUCAAAUUAAAAUAGGUACCUUAAAAGCAUUUCAUCCAUUGACUAGUGUAGCAUGUUGUAUCUUGGAACAAAACAACCCUCCAAAACAUUGUUAUCACAACCCAACUUUCCUCAAGACUUGUUUGAUUCUCCAUUUUUUUCACAUUUCCCUUUUUUCUACUUUCAUCAAUAAAUUAUUUAAAAAGAAAAAUCUAUUAUUUUUUUCAUAUCUACCUAUUUCCACAUAUAACAUAACAUGGAGUAGCAAACAACAUGCCUAAUCUCAAGUAAACAAUUUAGCUUGAUGCAUAUGUAUUCAUUAUAAAGUGCUUAUUAUAUUUGCUUGAAUAAGGAAGUGGUCAUAGUAACAUGGUCUUUUCAUAAACCACCUAAUUAGCUCCCAUCUUUGUCAAAAAAAUGUCUAAGAUGCCAAUAAAUAUCUACAUGGAUUUAGAUUUGGUGCAUUAACUGCAUCACACGGUUUUUCGAUCUCAACCACCUGAUCUUAAAUUAAUGUCCGAGAUCGUUUAAAACUGAUUUGUUAUUGUGUAAUUUAAACCCUCCGAUUUCAUAUGAACGGCCAAUAUCAUUUACCGCAUGAAAUCACGUGUUUUUUCCACUAGUGUUAAUCUAGAUCCUAUAUAUAGAAGAUAUUUGAACAUUGAAGUUGCAUAAAAACUAGAAAAAAAGAAAAAGAUAUUGGCGGUUUUGUUGUUCAAUGCAUCACUAGCAAUAGGGACCAACCAAGAUGUACCUAAAUGACAAAGCAAAGUCUAAAAAGGAGGAAGAAAAAGAAAAAGGGUAGUGGUCUUCACGUUUUCUCUGCUUUUGUAAUUUACAUUUUGUUUCUUUUUAGCCUCACUUUCUCUUAGCAAGAUCAUUGUAAACAAAAGUCCCACUUUCUCUCUAUCUUAUCUUUCUCUCUUUGUCAUUUUGUCAACCCUACUAUGCUUCUCAUUCAAUCUUAGAAAAUUCAAAUAAUGAACAUAGAGAGUGAAAAAUGAAAACAAGAGAAAAGAAACAUUUUUGGCUGGUUCAAGUUUAUAAAAUAUAUAAAUUGUUGCUAAUCCCAUUCAACAUUUAUUACUAUGUUGAUUAAAG